CGGGUGAGUAAUGUCUGGGAAACUGCCUGAUGGAGGGGGAUAACUACUGGAAACGGUAGCUAAUACCGCAUAACGUCGCAAGACCAAAGAGGGGGACCUUAGGGCCUCUUGCCAUCGGAUGUGCCCAGAUGGGAUUAGCUAGUAGGUGGGGUAAUGGCUCACCUAGGCGACGAUCCCUAGCUGGUCUGAGAGGAUGACCAGCCACACUGGAAUUGAGACACGGUCCAG
RNAcentral lists this ribosomal RNA (228 nucleotides) under uncultured bacterium. RNAcentral's name for it is "partial 16S ribosomal RNA". It matches the Rfam family "Bacterial small subunit ribosomal RNA", at positions 103 to 334 of the family's 1533-position model. The record is from RNAcentral.